RNAcentral lists this ribosomal RNA (253 nucleotides) under uncultured bacterium. RNAcentral describes it as "partial 16S ribosomal RNA". It matches the Rfam family "Bacterial small subunit ribosomal RNA", at positions 524 to 776 of the family's 1533-position model. The record is from RNAcentral.
GGCGAGCAUCACAAACGUUAUUCGGAAUUACUGGGCUUAAAGGGUGCGUAGGCGGUGUAGCAAGUCGGGAGUGAAAUCCCGCAGCUCAACUGCGGAAUUGCUUUCGAUACUGCUGCGCUUGAGUGAGAUAGAGGUAAGCGGAACUUAGGGUGGAGCGGUGAAAUGCGUAGAUAUCGGAAGGAACAUCAGUGGCGAAAGCGACUUCCUGGACCAAUACUGACGCUCAUGUGCGAAAGCGUGGGGAGCAAACAGG